RNAcentral lists this long non-coding RNA (487 nucleotides) under Marmota monax (woodchuck). Lineage: Eukaryota; Metazoa; Chordata; Mammalia; Rodentia; Sciuridae. The record is from RNAcentral.
AGAAACUGAGGCCCAGAAAGCCACACAGAGUUUAAAUGAUGGCGCUGCCUGGCUCCAAAGCCUGAGCUCUGACCUCCAAGUUUGGCCCCUGCUUCCUGGUCCCGUCCUGGGGAGUCCUUUGGGAUCUUGGCUGAAUGGUGAGCUCAGCAGGAGCCUGAUCAUGAUGACCCUGAGUGCCAAGCAAGGUUGCCUGGCUUUCAACCCCAGAGGUUUGGGGCAGCUUCUGUUGGGGUUACAUGGAGAAGCAGAACACCACAGAGGAGCAAGAGUUUGCCAGAAGAGGUGGUCUUGGGAUGCAAGGAACCCAAACAGCCUCAGAUCUACCUCCUGCCCACACAAGAAUGAUGAAGAGUAUGGGUUGCUGGGAACCAAGGGGACUCGGGUUGUGGGCAUGGGGUCUAGAAAGCUUGAGGUCCUGGGAGGACCCCAAAAUCUAUCUUCUAACAACCUCAGUGCAAGCUGAGAUCCUAUGUCCCCUGGAGAGUAG